UACGGAGGGUGCAAGCGUUAUCCGGAAUCACUGGGUUUAAAGGGUGCGUAGGCGGUCUGGUAAGUCAGUCGUGAAAUCGCCGGGCUUAACCCGUGCAACUGCGAUUGAUACUGCCGGACUUGAAUGAGGUUGAGGUAGGCGGAAUGUGGCAUGUAGCGGUGAAAUGCUUAGAUAUGCCAUAGAACACCGAUUGCGAAGGCAGCUUGCUGGACCUUCAUUGACGCUGAGGCACGAAAGCGUGGGGAGCAAACAGG
RNAcentral lists this ribosomal RNA (254 nucleotides) under uncultured bacterium. RNAcentral describes it as "partial 16S ribosomal RNA". It matches the Rfam family "Bacterial small subunit ribosomal RNA", at positions 524 to 776 of the family's 1533-position model. The record is from RNAcentral.